RNAcentral lists this ribosomal RNA (438 nucleotides) under uncultured Serratia sp. RNAcentral describes it as "bacterial SSU rRNA". It matches the Rfam family "Bacterial small subunit ribosomal RNA", at positions 8 to 462 of the family's 1533-position model. Lineage: Bacteria; Pseudomonadati; Pseudomonadota; Gammaproteobacteria; Enterobacterales; Yersiniaceae. The record is from RNAcentral.
AGAGUUUGAUCAUGGCUCAGAUUGAACGCUGGCGGCAGGCUUAACACAUGCAAGUCGAGCGGUAGGAGAGCUUGCUCUCUACGAGCGGCGGACGGGUGAGUAAUGUCUGGGAAACUGCCUGAUGGAGGGGGAUAACUACUGGAAACGGUAGCUAAUACCGCAUAAUGUCGCAAGACCAAAGAGGUUCGUCUUGCCAUCAGAUGUGCCCAGAUGGGAUUAGCUAGUAGGUGGGGUAAUGGCUCACCUAGGCGACGAUCCCUAGCUGGUCUGAGAGGAUGACCAGCCACACUGGAACUGAGACACGGUCCAGACUCCUACGGGAGGCAGCAGUGGGGAAUAUUGCACAAUGGGCGCAAGCCUGAUGCAGCCAUGCCGCGUGUAUGAAGAAGGCCUUAGGGUUGUAAAGUACUUUCAGGCGGGAGGGAAGGCGUUGUUUAA